UGAGAGGCUGAAAUGUCUGCCUGUUUUUUGUUAUGUUUGUAAUCAGCAAUCAUACAAGAAAUAGGAGGAAAGUCCGAACACCUUAGAGCAGGAUACUUCUGAAAAGGAAGCUUUGGUGACAAAGAGCUAGCUCCACAGAAACAGACCGCCUUAUGUUUCGAUGUGAGGUAAGGGUGAAAAGGUAGUGUAAGAGACAACCAGUCAGAGUAGUGAUAUUCUGAGCUAGGAAAGCCUUAUCCGGUGCAAUGCCAAAUAGGAAAGUCAAUAUGCAAUGCAUAUCCUGAUUUGCUCGGUCGGGAGAUCUUUCGGGUAGGCAGCUAUAUCCGUUUCUGAAGUGUAGUUCAGAGAGCAACACUUUAUAGAAGCUCCAUUGAGCAUAGCAAUAUACGGAAUAGAUGAAUAGACAUUUUUUUGCUUUUUAGGCAAAAAACAGAAUUCGGCUUAUCAGCUUCUCAAUCU
Molecule: RNase P RNA, 459 nt
Filed under: Candidatus Cloacimonadota bacterium
Lineage: Bacteria; Pseudomonadati; Candidatus Cloacimonadota
Description: RNase P RNA component class A
Rfam family: Bacterial RNase P class A
About the family: Ribonuclease P (RNase P) is a ubiquitous endoribonuclease, found in archaea, bacteria and eukarya as well as chloroplasts and mitochondria. Its best characterised activity is the generation of mature 5'-ends of tRNAs by cleaving the 5'-leader elements of precursor-tRNAs.
Source: RNAcentral